Molecule: long non-coding RNA, 329 nt
Organism: Hevea brasiliensis (rubber tree)
Lineage: Eukaryota; Viridiplantae; Streptophyta; Magnoliopsida; Malpighiales; Euphorbiaceae
Exons: 3
Source: RefSeq, a predicted model, not a curated record
GGUCUACACAUCACAAGGAAGAUAUUGAUACCAAUUUUGAGAAGUUUGGUGAAGGUUUAGCAAGUUACAAUUAAAGUUACCAAAGACUCAGGAAAAGGGAAGGAAACACUGAGUCCAGAUCAGGGGGACAGUCAUCAGAGGUAGAGAGACAGACAGGGCAGCAGGCUAGGCUGCUAGUAUCGCCAGCGAGAGAUUUUUGGGUAUAGUGAGUAUACCACAUGUGGCAUUUUGUACUGUAAUGUAUAUUCACUGUAUGUAUAUUUUGUUCUUGGUUUUGAGCAGUUGUAAAUUUAAGUUGUACAGUAAAGUUGUAAAAUAAUUAUGAGUUA